UUUCCCAUGCACUCGAUCGUCUGUGCUCACUUUUCUUGCCGGAAAAUUUUCAGUGAUCUACGCAUAUACUCAUACAAGUUGUAUACACAUGUUAUGUAUAUUGGUAUUAUGCUGCAUAUCUUCUAUGGAGUAGCUCAUUCCUCAUUGCUAAGAUUGAGCAAGGGAUUCUAUGAUAAAGCAGUCUGGAUAAAUGAUUCUGCAGUAGCUUAGAAUAAUUCCUCAACAGUUGGAUCCAGAAGUUGACUUCAGUGGUUUGUGGAUCGUUGUCAGUCAGAGUUACCCCCCAACAAGGGACUAGCAGUUGAAGGGACAAACCGUCAUUCAUUUUCUUCACUAUGAAGUUCAAACAUCUUUUGCCCCCGUUGAAUGCCAUGAGUUUCCACUUGGUACCAGUGCAAUAUACUGAGUGGCUUGUAGGCAAUGGGAUUACAAAACCCGUUCACUAUAAUGAGAUACAUGCUCCAUCAGUUGGCAUUGGAAGCAUGAGUAUGGCUA
Long non-coding RNA from Ipomoea nil (Japanese morning glory), 495 nucleotides. RefSeq lists it as uncharacterized. NCBI's taxonomy places the organism in Eukaryota, Viridiplantae, Streptophyta, Magnoliopsida, Solanales, Convolvulaceae. The transcript has 2 exons. The record is from RefSeq and is a predicted model, not a curated record.